UGGGGAAUUUUGGACAAUGGGCGCAAGCCUGAUCCAGCCAUGCCGCGUGCGGGAAGAAGGCCUUCGGGUUGUAAACCGCUUUUGUCAGGGAAGAAAUCCUUUGAGCUAAUACCUCGGGGGGAUGACGGUACCUGAAGAAUAAGCACCGGCUAACUACGUGCCAGCAGCCGCGGUAAUACGUAGGGUGCGAGCGUUAAUCGGAAUUACUGGGCGUAAAGCGUGCGCAGGCGGUUAUAUAAGACAGAUGUGAAAUCCCCGGGCUCAACCUGGGAACUGCAUUUGUGACUGUAUAGCUAGAGUACGGCAGAGGGGGAUGGAAUUCCGCGUGUAGCAGUGAAAUGCGUAGAUAUGCGGAGGAACACCAGUAGCGAAGGCGGCUACCUGGACCAGCACUGACGCUCAUGCACGAAAGCGUGGGGAGCAAACA
This 427-nucleotide ribosomal RNA is filed under the name uncultured bacterium. RNAcentral describes it as "bacterial SSU rRNA". It matches the Rfam family "Bacterial small subunit ribosomal RNA", at positions 355 to 774 of the family's 1533-position model. The record is from RNAcentral.